UAGGGAAUCUUCGGCAAUGGACGAAAGUCUGACCGAGCAACGCCGCGUGAGUGAAGAAGGUUUUCGGAUCGUAAAACUCUGUUGUUAGAGAAGAAAAAGGACGUAGGAAACUAACCGUCCCCUGCGGGUAUCUAACCAGAAAGCCACGGCUAACAACUUGCCAGCAGCCGCGGUAAUACGUAGGUGGCAAGCGUUGUCCGGAUUUAUUGGGCGUAAAGCGGGCGCAGGCGGUUUCUUAAGUCUGAUGUGAAAGCCCCCGGCUCAACCGGGGAGGGUCAUUGGAAACUGGGAGACUUGAGUGCAGAAGAGGAGAGUGGAAUUCCAUGUGUAGCGGUGAAAUGCGUAGAUAUAUGGAGGAACACCAGUGGCGAAGGCGGCUCUCUGGUCUGUAACUGACGCUGAGGCUCGAAAGCGUGGGGAGCAAACAGG
Molecule: ribosomal RNA, 429 nt
Filed under: Gemmatimonadota bacterium
Lineage: Bacteria; Pseudomonadati; Gemmatimonadota
Description: Gemmatimonadetes bacterium partial 16S ribosomal RNA
Rfam family: Bacterial small subunit ribosomal RNA
Source: RNAcentral